AUGAUCAGUCGCCAUGCUGGCAAUCUUGCAGCCAGCCCCGAGGAGCCGCCUGACGGCUGGGCCACGCGGGAGAGUAGCGCCUACGCAGGGGGCGACGAGAAGGAGGGAGACGGCUCGGACCGCAAACAGAAGAAGAAGAAGAAAAGACGACAGAAAGACGAGGGAGCCUAUGAUUACCUCGAGGCCAGGGGCCACUCGGAGGCGCAAGCACAGGGAGACGACACGCCCGCAGAGGAGUUCUACCACAGAAUAGGUCCGAGGCGGGACAAAGAUGGUGGCUGGGAGGAGCAGCUGGGAAAGGGGGGGGGCAGGGGGAAGAGAGGAAAGAGCAGGAAGAAGCUUCCAGAGGAGUGGGCGGUGAUGGCGGAGCCAUUCGUUCCUUCGUCGGCAGCAGCCUCACAAAUCACAGAGGUGAUGAUGGACACGGGGAGUCCAGGCCAAGCAACCAGCCAGAGCCCCUGGACGAAGGAGGUCCAGUCAGAUGACAGCCCUAUCUCCGCCCCCGUGUCCCAGGACCUGACCCCAGCUUCUGUUCCCAUCAGCCCCCUGGUCCUGAACAGUGAGCUGAAGGCCACAGCAGCUCCAUUCACCAUGCCCUCCACCAACAUCUCCCUGCCUGUGGCCCUCAGCCCCAGUGACCCAUUCGAUCUGCUGAUGGAUGUGGAGAAUGGCAGCAGCCAGGCCUUCUCUCCACCUUUCUCUCCAGAGGGCAAAUCAGCGGCUGCUGAUUUGGUUGAUAGUGGGAUAUUUGACAUCUCCAGUUCUCUCCACCAGGCUUGUGUGCAGGUCCUCCCUGAGGGAGACAUUUUGGCCUUCAGCCCCGCCCCCCAGCCGAACCCGGUCAUUCCCCCCAAAGGUGAGGUUUUAGCCUCAGCUCCACCCCUCUCACCCUCUGAUGCCUCAUGGCUCCUGGGCGAGUCGCAGAUUAGCAGCAACACAGAGCUUUUUGACUUCAAUAGCAUGAGCCCGUCGGGCGCUUUGCCCCUAGGCUUGUCCUUGGACGCCCCGAGCCCAGCGCCUCUCCGCUCCCCUAAAACCACAGCGCAGGAAUUCCAGCCCAAGGAGCAGAAAGAUGCCAAAUCAUCCCAGAACCAAUCCAAGAAGCAUCACUCUUCAUCGGCUUGCUCCCCUAUAGCCAGCCCCGCCUCCCCAGGAGAUAAACAGCUUCCUCCCCAGGCAUCCUCCCCUUCGUCAGGUCCAGGAUCUGGUCUUAACCCUGCAGCUAAGCCCUUCUUCCCCAGCUUUGCUGAUCCCAUGGACGAACCAGCUGUGGCCCCUGUUGCCCCUGUGAUUGAAGGUUGGUUCCCAUCAACCCUGGAAACUGGUGUAAUACGUAAAGUAACUAAUAGGAAAUACAAAUAA
RNAcentral lists this long non-coding RNA (1362 nucleotides) under Betta splendens (Siamese fighting fish). RNAcentral describes it as "lncRNA (ENSBSLG00000024672.1)". The record is from RNAcentral. Lineage: Eukaryota; Metazoa; Chordata; Actinopteri; Anabantiformes; Osphronemidae.